RNAcentral lists this ribosomal RNA (253 nucleotides) under uncultured bacterium. RNAcentral's name for it is "partial 16S ribosomal RNA". It matches the Rfam family "Bacterial small subunit ribosomal RNA", at positions 524 to 776 of the family's 1533-position model. The record is from RNAcentral.
UACGUAGGGGGCAAGCGUUGUCCGGAUUUAUUGGGCGUAAAGCGCUCGCAGGCGGUCCUAUGCGUCGUGCGUGAAAGACCCCGGCUCAACUGGGGAGGGUCGUGCGAUACGGUCGGACUCGAGGCCAGUAGGGGGACGCGGAAUUCCGGGUGUAGUGGUGGAAUGCGUAGAGAUCCGGAGGAACACCAGCGGCGAAGGCGGCGUCCUGGACUGGUACUGACGCUCAGGAGCGAAAGCGUGGGGAGCGAUCCGG